This 465-nucleotide ribosomal RNA is filed under the name uncultured bacterium. RNAcentral's name for it is "partial 16S ribosomal RNA". It matches the Rfam family "Bacterial small subunit ribosomal RNA", at positions 338 to 795 of the family's 1533-position model. The record is from RNAcentral.
CCUACGGGUGGCAGCAGUGGGGAAUAUUGCGCAAUGGGCGAAAGCCUGACGCAGCGACGCCGCGUGAGGGAUGAAGGUCUUCGGAUUGUAAACCUCUGUCAGCAGGGAAGAAAGGUCACUGUGCUAAUCAGCAGUGAAUUGACGGUACCUGCAAAGGAAGCACCGGCUAACUCCGUGCCAGCAGCCGCGGUAAUACGGAGGGUGCGAGCGUUAAUCGGAAUUACUGGGCGUAAAGCGCUCGUAGGCGGUAUGUCAAGUCAAGGGUGAAAUCCCCGCGCUCAACGUGGGAACUGCCUUUGAAACUGGCAAACUGGAGUGUGUGAGAGGAUAGUGGAAUUCCAGGUGUAGGAGUGAAAUGCGUAGAUAUCAGGAGGAACAUCAGUGGCGAAGGCGACUAUCUGGCACAUAACUGACGCUGAGGAGCGAAAGCGUGGGUAGCAAACAGGAUUAGAUACCCCAGUAGUC